RNAcentral lists this ribosomal RNA (279 nucleotides) under uncultured bacterium. RNAcentral's name for it is "partial 16S ribosomal RNA". It matches the Rfam family "Bacterial small subunit ribosomal RNA", at positions 506 to 784 of the family's 1533-position model. The record is from RNAcentral.
UGCCAGCAGCCGCGGUAAUACGGAGGGUGCAAGCGUUGUUUGGAAUUAUUGGGCGUAAAGGGCGUGUAGGCGGCUUGAUAAGUCGAAGGUGAAAUCCCAUGGCUCAACCAUGGAACUGCCUUCGAAACUGUCUGGCUAGAGUUCGGGAGAGGGUAGUGGAAUUCCCAGUGUAACGGUGAAAUGCGUAGAUAUUGGGAGGAACACCAGUGGCGAAGGCGACUACCUGGACCGACACUGACGCUGAGGCGCGAAAGCGUGGGUAGCAAACAGGAUUAGAUA